Molecule: RNA transcript, 2428 nt
Organism: Motacilla alba alba
Lineage: Eukaryota; Metazoa; Chordata; Aves; Passeriformes; Motacillidae
Gene: RBPMS
Gene name: RNA binding protein, mRNA processing factor
Exons: 9
Source: RefSeq, a predicted model, not a curated record
CCCGGCCGCGCCGCCCCGCCCCGGCCCCCCCGCCGCCGCCGGGACCAGCCCCCAGCGCCGCCCGCCCGGACGCGGCUGCCGCCGGCGGGACGAGGAGCCUGGCCGGUCGCACCAUGAGCAGCGUCCCCGCCGACAGGGAGGGCGGCCCCGCCGACACCAGCCUGCCCGAGGAGGAGGUGAGGACACUCUUUGUCAGCGGGUUGCCUCUGGACAUCAAGCCUCGGGAACUUUACCUGCUCUUCAGACCCUUUAAGGGGUACGAAGGGUCUCUCAUCAAACUCACCUCCAAGCAGCCCGUGGGCUUCGUCAGCUUCGACAGCCGCUCCGAGGCGGAGGCAGCGAAGAACGCGCUGAACGGCAUCCGCUUCGACCCCGAGAUCCCCCAGACGCUGCGGCUGGAGUUUGCCAAGGCCAACACCAAGAUGGCCAAGAACAAGCUGGUGGGCACCCCAAAUCCCAGCACCCCUCUCCCCACCGCCGUACCUCAGUUCAUCGCCCGGGAGCCCUAUGAGCUCACAGUGCCUGCACUUUACCCCAGUAGCCCUGAAGUGUGGGGGCCGUACCCUCUGUACCCAGCGGAAUUAGCACCUGCUCUACCUCCUCCUGCUUUCACCUAUCCCGCUUCGCUGCACGCCCAGAUGCGCUGGCUCCCUCCCUCCGAGGCUGGUUCUCAGGGCUGGAAGUCCCGUCAGUUCUGCUGAAUGCCGGGUCUCAGGUGUGUGAUGGUGGCCUACAGUCAGUCUUGUGGGUAUUAAUGGAGUCUUCCAAGGUGGCUACUGGGUUGGUGUGCUCUCCACAGGACCUCAGUGUGCUGGCUUGAAAAAAAACCUCACACAAGUAUGGAUUCCUCCAAGACUUUCCCACAGCCUCUAUCACACAUCUGCUCUCCUAGAAGAAAAAAGAAAAAACAUACCUAGUAAUAAUAUUUUCCUCUUUUACACUGUAUAUUUGUAAGGAAGAGUGUGUUACUCCCGAAAGCAUGGUUUGACAGGCAUUGUUGUAGUGUUUGAAAAAGCUUUUCAAAUGGAACCAUAGGAAAGCAGACUAUUAAAAAAAAAAGAAGAAGAAAAAAAAGAAGAAAAAAAAAAGAAAUAAACCAAAACAAGAGCAAGUAUUUUUGUACCAAAGCUCCUCAAGAGGACAAUCUUACACCGGACCACAGGUUUUGUGCUUGACUUUCGAGGUGUGUAAAGAAGAGUCUUAUUAUCCCCUGGCCCCGGCAGCUGCAUGUGGAAGGCACCAUGCUCCCAAGCGCGAGGAUGUCGACACGCACGAUGCGGGUUUGUAGGAACUAUGCUCUGGCCGUGCUGGCAAGGCGUCUGCAGACACUACAGUAUUACUGUUUUCUUCCCAGUUGCACCAACUGACGAGCAGGCAGGACGACCAGGAACUUCCUUCCCAUGUUAUUUUUACCUUGGGGCUGUGUUCAUAGCUGCUGUGCAAAGCUUCCGUGGGGUACAGCAGCUCGGAUCAGGGACGGGCAGGCAGCCCACACACGUAGCAAGGUGACAAUUUGCCUCCUCCUCCUCCUCCUGCCAUGACUGCUCCAAGCUGUUACAGGCAAUGUAAACUGCUGUAUGAAAAAGCAUACCAACAAAUCCUUGGUUUGCCAGCUUCCUCCAGGUCGGACAUGAGUCCUGAGGGGCUUCCCGUUACGCUGAAGCGCUGGCCUGGCCUGGCCUGUGGUUUUAGCGCUGAUGUUACGCUGGUCCAGCUGCUCCCUGCGUGGCAUUCCCAUGUUUAAAGAUGAGAAGGGAAGCUGCCAACAUCCUUUACAGAGAUAAAGUACCAACAGAGAGACUGCUUGACUUACUAGUUCUCCUUCUCCUUGCUCCAGGAGGGAUUCAGAAAAAGAAGAGAGCAAACUGACCCAAAACCUCCAUCAGGCUGCGGUUUCUUGCAAAGGGAGGUGCAGAGCUUCUCCUUCCAUUGCCUUUCCCCCAUCUCCAUUCCAGCUGCAGGGAACACUGUGCUCAGCUGCUGCCCAGGCCUCACCGUAGCCGGUUUUUCCCAGCUGUUUGUGGCCUCGUUAAACAUCAUCACCUUUUCCUUUCUCCUUCCUCUUGUCCUGUGGGUGGGCCGAAAUAAGAUGGCUGAGAUUCUGGCCGUCGGGGUGGGACAGGGGGAUGAAAAAAUGGGGUUUUUCACCAUCAGAAACUGUCCCGUUGGGGUCUUCUGUAAAAAAUGGGCCUGAUAAAAGUGAUGUGAGAAGAAAUCAAAUCCAAGACAAACCUCAGAGCGGCUCCAAAAGGAACGAUACCAGCGUUCCCAAGCGACGGACUAACUCUUUUAGCAAACUAUUUCCUGUACUUUGUCUUGUGGAGAGGAGAGAAGCUUCCACAUUGUCUACUCUGCUUUUGGAAAUAUGUUUAAAGGUACUUUUCUAUUGUAAUUUUUUAAAAAUAAAACCGGUGAUUAUUGUAAGUUA